RNAcentral lists this small RNA (29 nucleotides) under Bombyx mori (domestic silkworm). RNAcentral's name for it is "piRNA piR-bmo-2033007". The record is from RNAcentral. Lineage: Eukaryota; Metazoa; Arthropoda; Insecta; Lepidoptera; Bombycidae.
UCACUCGAAAUUUGAACUCAAAACUUUGC